This 253-nucleotide ribosomal RNA is filed under the name uncultured bacterium. RNAcentral describes it as "partial 16S ribosomal RNA". It matches the Rfam family "Bacterial small subunit ribosomal RNA", at positions 524 to 776 of the family's 1533-position model. The record is from RNAcentral.
UACAGGGGUCCCAAGCGUUGUUCGGAUUCACUGGGCGUAAAGGGUGCGUAGGUGGUUGUGCAAGUCUGAUGUGAAAUCUCCGGGCUCAACCCGGAAAUGGCAUUGGAAACUGCAUGGCUAGAGGGUUGGAGGGGGGACUGGAAUACUUGGUGUAGCAGUGAAAUGCGUAGAUAUCAAGUGGAACACCAGUGGCGAAGGCGAGUCCCUGGACAACACCUGACACUGAGGCACGAAAGCUAGGGGAGCAAACAGG